GAUGAAGAACGUAGCGAAAUGCGAUAAGUAAUGUGAAUUGCAGAAUUCAGUGAAUCAUCGAAUCUUUGAACGCACAUUGCGCCCGCCAGUAUUCUGGCGGGCAUGCCUGUUCGAGCGUCAUUUCAACCAUCAAGCCCCCGGCUUGUGUUGGGGACCUGCGGCUGCCGCAGGCCCUGAAAACCAGUGGCGGGCUCGCUGUCACACCGAGCGUAGUAGAUUUUCAUCUCGCUCAGGGCGUGCUGCGGGUUCCGGCCGUAAAAAGCCUUAUUUACCCAAGGUUGACCUCCGAUCAGGUAGGAAGACCCGCUGAACUUAAGCAUAUCAAUAAGCGGAGGA
Molecule: unclassified non-coding RNA, 336 nt
Filed under: soil metagenome
Description: partial contains 5.8S ribosomal RNA, internal transcribed spacer 2, and large subunit ribosomal RNA
Rfam family: 5.8S ribosomal RNA (bases 1-120)
Source: RNAcentral